Molecule: transfer RNA, 69 nt
Filed under: Parapsyche elsis
Lineage: Eukaryota; Metazoa; Arthropoda; Insecta; Trichoptera; Hydropsychidae
Description: tRNA-Arg
Source: RNAcentral
UAAUAAGUAAUAAAAUUAUUUAUUUUUAGUUUCGACCUAAACCGUGGAAGAUGCUCAUUCCCUUAUUUU